UCUUCAGGUUAUGAUGCUGAACAAAACUAAAUCUGAUUUCAAAAUUUAAAAUUCUUUAAAAACAAGAAGUAUAUUAUAUAAAGGUUUAACGAGUAGUUGCAUUAGUUGACUUGGAGAGGAUAGUAGCUAUUAGCUUACCUCUUUGUUCCCAGAAAGCCACCAAAACGGGGAAGCUCAUUUGCUGCCGCCAGUCCUAAGAUUAUCAUCAUUAAGAGGAGGCAAAUAAAUUGACUUGGUGAAGCCACUUAGGUCCACAUUCACCAAGGUGAUCAAACCUGCGUCAGCCCACACCUGCCUCCCCUCUCAGGAGAAACCAGGACAGGCAGCACAACAAAGCUGUGGCGGCACACUUGGGGAGUUCAGCUAACUGCAUCUUCAAUCACCGCAUCUCAGAGCCAACCAAGGAUUGCAGGCAGCAGUGUGCAUGGAGGAGUUUGUUUAGGAUGCAUACGGCAC
Oreochromis aureus is the source of this 456-nucleotide long non-coding RNA. NCBI's taxonomy places the organism in Eukaryota, Metazoa, Chordata, Actinopteri, Cichliformes, Cichlidae. The record is from Ensembl.